Molecule: ribosomal RNA, 253 nt
Filed under: uncultured bacterium
Lineage: Bacteria
Description: partial 16S ribosomal RNA
Rfam family: Bacterial small subunit ribosomal RNA
Source: RNAcentral
UACGGGGGGAGCAAGCGUUGUUCGGAUUUACUGGGCGUAAAGGGCGCGUAGGCGGCGCAACAAGUCACUUGUGAAAUCUCCGGGCUUAACCCGGAGCGGCCAAGUGAUACUGUCGUGCUAGAGUGCGGAAGGGGCUACUGGAAUUCUCGGUGUAGCGGUGAAAUGCGUAGAUAUCAGGAGGAACACCUGUGGUGUAGACGGCUCUCUGGACAGUAACUGACGCUGAGACACGAAAGCGUGGGUAGCAAACAGG